This 407-nucleotide ribosomal RNA is filed under the name uncultured bacterium. Its description in RNAcentral is "partial 16S ribosomal RNA". It matches the Rfam family "Bacterial small subunit ribosomal RNA", at positions 28 to 526 of the family's 1533-position model. The record is from RNAcentral.
GACGAACGCUGGCGGCGUGCCUAAUACAUGCAAGUAGGACGCAGUUGCGAACGGGUGAGUAACGCGUAGGUAACUACCUAUUAGAGGGGGAUAACUAUUGGAAACGAUAGCUAAUACCGCAUACUAGUAGAUGGACCUGCGUUGUAUUAGCUAGUAGGUAGGGUAAUGGCCUACCUAGGCAACGAUACAUAGCCGACCUGGGGAGGUGAUCGGCCACCCUGGGACUGAAGCCCGGCCCAGACCCCUUCUGGAGGGCGCAGUAGGGGAAUGUAGGCAAUGGGGGGAACCCUUACCGGGCAACGCCGCGUGAGUGAAGAAGGGUUUCGGAUCGUAAAGCUCUGUUGUUAAGGAAGCGGUACUUAACCAGAAAGGGACGGCUAACUACGUGCCAGCAGCCGCGGUAAUAC